CAGCUCUUGCCUCCCGGCGGCCUCUGCAGGCCCAAGUCGUCCUCAAGUCAGCCUGGAAGUGGGCCUGGAAGAGCUGCAAGUCGGCCUCCCCGGGCCCAGCUCCGUCCUCUCGGCGGCCUCUCCAGGCCUAAGUCGUCCUCAAGUCGGCCUGGAAGUGGGCCUGGAAGAGCUGCAAGUCGGCCUCCCCGGGCCCAGCUCCGUCCUCUCGGCGGCCUCUCCAGGUGCAAAACUUCCUCGAGUCAGCCUCUCCAGGCCCAGCUCCUCCUGCCUCCCAGUGGCCUCUUUCGGCCCAGCCCAGCUCAUGGCUCUCGGCAGUCUUCCCAGGCCCCGCUUUUGACUUUUGGUGGCCUCUUCAGGCCCAGAACUUGACCUCCAGUCGGCCUUGGCAGGCCCGGCCUCCUGCCUCUCGAAGGCCUACACGGGCCCAGCCUCGGCUUCACAGUGGACUCUCCACGCCCAGCUAGCUCUCGCCUCACUGCAGCCUCCCCAGUCCAAAGCUCCUGCCUUUCGGCCACUUCGGCAGGCCCAGCUCCUGCUGGCCAGUGGCCUCUUUAGGCCCAGCUCAUUCC
This 569-nucleotide long non-coding RNA is filed under the name Homo sapiens (human). Its description in RNAcentral is "HSALNT0340758". Lineage: Eukaryota; Metazoa; Chordata; Mammalia; Primates; Hominidae. The record is from RNAcentral.